Molecule: ribosomal RNA, 331 nt
Filed under: uncultured Rhodocista sp.
Lineage: Bacteria; Pseudomonadati; Pseudomonadota; Alphaproteobacteria; Rhodospirillales; Azospirillaceae
Description: bacterial SSU rRNA
Rfam family: Bacterial small subunit ribosomal RNA
Source: RNAcentral
CGCGUAGGCGGUGCACUAAGUCAGGCGUGAAAGCCCUGGGCUCAACCCGGGAAUUGCGCUUGAUACUGGUGCGCUUGAAUCCAGGAGAGGUUGGUGGAAUUCCCAGUGUAGAGGUGAAAUUCGUAGAGAUUGGGAAGAACACCGGUGGCGAAGGCGGCCAACUGGACUGGUAUUGACGCUGAGGCGCGAAAGCGUGGGGAGCAAACAGGAUUAGAUACCCUGGUAGUCCACGCUGUAAACGAUGUGUGCUAGCCGUUGGGGCUCUUAGAGCCUCGGUGGCGUCGCUAACGCUUUAAGCACACCGCCUGGGGAGUACGGUCGCAAGAUUAAA